GUAACGCGUAUGCAAUCUACCCUUUACUGGGGAAUAGCCCGGGGAAACUCGGAUUAAUACUCCAUAAUAUUAUGAAAUGGCAUCAUUUUAUAAUCAAAGUUCCGACGGUCAGGGAUGAGCAUGCGGCCCAUUAGCUAGUUGGUGAGGUAAUGGCUCGCCAAGGCUACGAUGGGUAGGGGGUCUGAGAGGAUGAUCCCCCACACUGGUACUGAGACACGGACCAGACUCC
This 229-nucleotide ribosomal RNA is filed under the name uncultured bacterium. RNAcentral describes it as "partial 16S ribosomal RNA". It matches the Rfam family "Bacterial small subunit ribosomal RNA", at positions 110 to 339 of the family's 1533-position model. The record is from RNAcentral.